CGGGUAUGAGCGGCGGACGGGUGAGUAACACGUAGGUAAUCUACCCUUGUGGGGAUAACCCGGGGAAACCCGGGCUAAUACCGCAUAUGGCCUUCGGGUCAAAGCCUUCGGGCGCCAGAGGACGAGCCUGCGGCGCAUUACCUAGUUGGUAGGGUAAUGGCCUACCAAGGGAACGAUGCGUAGCUGGUCUGAGAGGAUGAUCAGCCACACUGGGACUGAGACACGGCCCAGACUCCUACGGGAGGCAGCAGUGGGGAAUAUUGCGCAAUGGGCGAAAGCCUGACGCAGCCACGCCGCGUGGGUGAUGAAGGCCUUCGGGUUGUAAAGCCCUGUCGGGAGGGAAGAAGUUCUGACGGUACCUCCCAAGAAAGCACCGGCUAACUCCGUGCCAGCAGCCGCGGUAA
RNAcentral lists this ribosomal RNA (404 nucleotides) under uncultured delta proteobacterium. RNAcentral describes it as "bacterial SSU rRNA". It matches the Rfam family "Bacterial small subunit ribosomal RNA", at positions 86 to 523 of the family's 1533-position model. Lineage: Bacteria; Deltaproteobacteria. The record is from RNAcentral.